GACGAACGCUGGCGGUGUGCUUAACACAUGCAAGUCGAACGGAAAGGCCCUGCUUUUGUGGGGUGCUCGAGUGGCGAACGGGUGAGUAACACGUGAGUAACCUGCCCUUGACUUUGGGAUAACUUCAGGAAACUGGGGCUAAUACCGGAUAGGGGCUCCUGCUGCAUGGUGGGGGUUGGAAAGUUUCGGCGGUUGGGGAUGGACUCGCGGCUUAUCAGCUUGUUGGUGGGGUAGUGGCUUACCAAGGCUUUGACGGGUAGCCGGCCUGAGAGGGUGACCGGCCACAUUGGGACUGAGAUACGGCCCAGACUCCUACGGGAGGCAGCAGUGGGGAAUAUUGCACAAUGGGCGGAAGCCUGAUGCAGCAACGCCGCGUGCGGGAUGACGGCCUUCGGGUUGUAAACCGCUUUCGCCUGUGACGAAGCGUGAGUGACGGUAAUGGGUAAAGAAGCACCGGCUAACUACGUG
RNAcentral lists this ribosomal RNA (468 nucleotides) under uncultured bacterium. Its description in RNAcentral is "partial 16S ribosomal RNA". It matches the Rfam family "Bacterial small subunit ribosomal RNA", at positions 28 to 507 of the family's 1533-position model. The record is from RNAcentral.